AAAAAAAAAAAAAAAAAAACUUCCAUCAAUGUCUAGUAGAACAAAUUUGCCUAAUGCUCAAAAUCUAAGGGAGACAACAACAAAAUUUAGCAAAUUAACACAAAAUGAACUUUGAAGAUGCAUCAAUUUCAAAAAAUUAAGCAAAGGAGCACAAAAUGAAAACUUCAAUUGCACGUUUGUUUCACUCAGUUGAAAAAAUGCAGCGGAUUCACAAUUGAUGAUGGUAACAGCAUGGUCCUGCUGAGUGUUGAAGAUGUUGCAAGAGCAAGAGCACCAACAAGCCUCAGUGGCCAAGGCAGUGUAUCGAUGAGGAUGACAGUCUGAAUAAUUAUGUGGAUGGAAUCGAUGAUCACACAUGACGAAAUUCUUUACAAUCUGAUUCUUCUAUGUCAUGACUUGUAACAAAGCCUAAAGCAAGAAAUCCCCUUCCUACAGAGAAAUUCGCAUCUCCAAAUCUUGAACUUAAAGCUUUAAUGCUUUAAUCUCACUAAGGAAUGGUUCACGCUCACAAGAGCACUGCUGCUUUUUCAGGAGCCAUUGUUACUCCUAGUGAAGCCACCAUUGUUCCUCAUGAAGCUGGAAGAAGUCUUCGCGGUUGAAAGAAGAAGGGUUGGGAAUAGAAGAAGAGAAGCAGACAUGAGAUUUAGAGAAAAAGGUAAGGAGGGCUUGGAAUAUAGGAAAGGAGGGAGAGCAUGUAGUCUAAGAGGGAAAGAGAAAUAACACAUGAGAGGGAGAUUGAGGAAGGAAAAUGAAAGAAAAGGAAAGGAAAGAGGAAUAAAGUGUGGACCAUGGGGUGUGGGAGUGUUAAAGGAGGAAGGAAGGUAUUAUGGGAGACUCCCGACAAAUUAGCUUUUUAUGAUUAUAGCAGCAAUAAUCUGACAAAGGGUGGGUUGUUCAGAGUAGACUCAAUGAACAACGUGGAUGGAAUAGAAUUGAGUUUUAGUUGUGUACAUAGGGAAAGUCAUGUGCAUUGAAAAAUGAAAUCACUGACUUGGACAGGAAUUUAGGGAAAUUUCUACUCUUUAAGAGAAAGUGAAAAAAGGAAAUGAAAGUGUUAUAGUAGGAAGGUUUUUGGGGUUGGGGGGGGGGGGGAGUGUGUUUGGUGCGGCCUACAAAUUUGUAAUUUACAGUGACUUGUGCUUUAUUAUAUAGUUAUAUAAUUGGUCAUAAAGAUUUUAGGUUUACUUCGAAUUAAUAUUUUUAAGUUAAAUUCUAAAUAUUUUGAUUUGGAUUAAAUUCUAUAAGUUAAAUAUCAAUUUUUGACCUGCAUUACGAAAUAUGUGUUUGAUUAAUGAAUUGGUAACUCUAACAGCUAUACAUUUUCUGCUUCUACAAUAUAAACUAAAGUAAACCCUCAAGAAUAAUUGGUUUAAAGACAUAAGAUUAUAUGUGUGUGUGUGUGUGUG
This 1406-nucleotide unclassified non-coding RNA is filed under the name Hevea brasiliensis (rubber tree). Lineage: Eukaryota; Viridiplantae; Streptophyta; Magnoliopsida; Malpighiales; Euphorbiaceae. The record is from RNAcentral.